This 331-nucleotide ribosomal RNA is filed under the name uncultured bacterium. RNAcentral's name for it is "bacterial SSU rRNA". It matches the Rfam family "Bacterial small subunit ribosomal RNA", at positions 568 to 898 of the family's 1533-position model. The record is from RNAcentral.
CGCGUAGGCGGAUAUUACAGUCAGGCGUGAAAUUCCUGGGCUCAACCUGGGGGCUGCGUUUGAUACGUGAUGUCUGGAGUUCGGAAGAGGGUCGUGGAAUUCCCAGUGUAGAGGUGAAAUUCGUAGAUAUUGGGAAGAACACCGGUGGCGAAGGCGGCGACCUGGUCCGAUACUGACGCUGAGGCGCGAAAGCGUGGGGAGCAAACAGGGUUAGAUACCCUGGUAGUCCACGCUGUAAACGAUGUGCGCUGGAUGUUGGGUGACAUAGUCAUUCAGUGUCGUAGCUAACGCGAUAAGCGCACCGCCUGGGGAGUACGGCCGCAAGGUUGAA